AUUGAACGCUGGCGGCAUGCCUAACACAUGCAAGUCGAACGGCAGCACUGCAGUAGCAAUACUGUGGGUGGCGAGUGGCGGACGGGUGAGGAAUACGUCGGAAUCUGCCCAGUCGUGGGGGAUAACUAGCCGAAAGGUUAGCUAAUACCGCAUACGACCGAGAGGUGAAAGCGGGGGACCGCAAGGCCUCGCGCGAUUGGAUGAGCCGACGUCGGAUUAGCUAGUUGGCGGGGUAAAGGCCCACCAAGGCGACGAUCCGUGGCUGGUCUGAGAGGAUGAUCAGCCACACUGGAACUGAGACACGGUCCAGACUCCUACGGGAGGCAGCAGUGGGGAAUAUUGGACAAUGGGCGCAAGCCUGAUCCAGCAAUGCCGCGUGUGUGAAGAAGGCCUCGG
This 396-nucleotide ribosomal RNA is filed under the name uncultured bacterium. Its description in RNAcentral is "bacterial SSU rRNA". It matches the Rfam family "Bacterial small subunit ribosomal RNA", at positions 29 to 420 of the family's 1533-position model. The record is from RNAcentral.